UAGACUGAUGAGUUGCGAACGGGUGAGUAACGCGUAGGUAACCUGCCUCAUAGCGGGGGAUAACUAUUGGAAACGAUAGCUAAUACCGCAUAAGAGUAAUUAACACAUGUUAGUUAUUUAAAAGGAGCAAUUGCUUCACUGUGAGAUGGACCUGCGUUGUAUUAGCUAGUUGGUGAGGUAAAGGCUCACCAAGGCGACGAUACAUAGCCGACCUGAGAGGGUGAUCGGCCACACUGGGACUGAGACACGGCCCAGACUCCUACGGGAGGCAGCAGUAGGGAAUCUUCGGCAAUGGACGGAAGUCUGACCGAGCAACGCCGCGUGAGUGAAGAAGGUUUUCGGAUCGUAAAGCUCUGUUGUU
Molecule: ribosomal RNA, 361 nt
Filed under: Streptococcus agalactiae
Lineage: Bacteria; Bacillati; Bacillota; Bacilli; Lactobacillales; Streptococcaceae
Description: bacterial SSU rRNA
Rfam family: Bacterial small subunit ribosomal RNA
Source: RNAcentral